AGAGAGAGAGAGAGAGAGAGAGAGAGAGAGAGAGAGGCCUGGGAGAGAAAAGAACCAAGAGACCGUCUGGAUGCUACGGGCGUGACGUCAUCGCGAGGAGUGGCACGCACAGAGAGGGGGAGGCCUCCGUCGUCCUUAUACAGCGCGUUACCAAAUAAUGCGGAUGGAUUGUAAAGUCUAUGUGGGCAAUCUUGGCAACAAUGCCGCGAAACACGAACUGGAGUCUGCCUUCACAAAGUACGGCCCUCUGGUGAACGUCUGGGUGGCUCGCAAUCCCCCCGGGUUUGCCUUCGUGGAGUUUGAGGACCCCAGAGAUGCAGAGGAUGCAGUGAGGGCGCUCGAUGGAACGAGACUGUGUGGUGUGAGGGUUAGAGUUGAGAUGUCCACAGGCCGCUCCCGUAGAGACCGCUACCGCUCCCCACCACGCAGAGGAGGGAGCCGCAGAUCCAGGACUAUCUCGCCCAAAUUACUUCUUGUUCCACCACCACCACCACCACCAUCUACUCCUCCUACUGUUGCUACCACACCACCACCACCAACUCCACCACAACCACCACCACCACCACCACCACAAGUACUUCCACCACCAUCACCACCACCACUCCUAGCAUCAGCAUCAGCCUCUUUGUCCAGUGGACUGCCAAUAUUGGGUUGUUGGGGUAGAUGGAGGUCCCUCUGGGCACUCUGUCCACUCCCAACCUGAUCCCACACUGGUACAGCCUUGAUAUCCUGAGUCCGACGCCUGCACACAGUCCAGUUGGCGUGCCCCGCGAGGGAGCACUCUGGCUGGACUGUUGGGCGCUAACGUAACCAGUGCUGGGCCUCCUGAUGCUCUGAGGCUUGGCGGAGGUGGUGGUGAGCGGCACGUUGCCUGAUGGCCCUCCUACGGCGCGGCACCUCGUGGCACCCGGGCAGCCCUUAUGCGCUUCACGUGUCCUCUUCUCCCCGCCCGUCUACGUCUACCCUCCGCCCACUGCCCGCCCAUCGCCCGCCCGCAGCCUGCGCACCAUCAGGCCUGCCCCCCCACCCACCAUCUUGGGUCCUUGACCCUCCAACGCUCGCUCCACUUUCUUACAUUCAUCGCGCCUCGUCUCACCAUAACGCCUACCCUGCUGUGACGGUCCCGGAGCCCUAGGAGGUUUGGGCGGUCCCGCUCUCGGUCACCAAGACGCUCCCGGUCCCGCUCCCCCAGGUCUGUUUCAAGGUCCCCAAGGUAUGACGACUACCGCAGGCGAAGUGACUCUCCAGAUUUCAGAAGACGAUCCCGUUCUAGAUCAUAAGGGGUGAGUGUGUACGAUGAUAGAGUGACUGGCAGUAUCCGGGAACAGUGAGGACUGGAGCAUGUGGCUCCUCUUGGCAGGAAUAUUUUCCACCAUUUGUAUUAAGAUCUUGAUGAUGAUUCGCUUUGAAUUGUAGGUCAUAGAUUUUUUGUUGAAAAUUUGCACUAAAUUUUAAAAAAUCUCACUACUUCCUUGGUCAUUACUUUCCUAACACUCACUUUGUAAUUUAUGUAUUUUAUUCAGAAAUCUUGAAAUUUAUGUAGCCUAUGAAUUGAAUAUAGACUAGUAAUUGUUUUAAGAUUACUAAGAUUCCUGUUUAGUUGUAGGUUCCUCACUUUUAUAUGGUAUGAGAAUGAAUGUUAUGUGCACCAUACCUUUCUGAUAUAUUUCCUUGAGGACUAAACAUAGAGCACUAAAGUUAUUGUGGCAGUACAAAUGAAGAUGAAAGGUAUGGAAUGUUUAUUGUCAUUAAGAAGUUUCACAAAU
RNA transcript from Scylla paramamosain (green mud crab), 1766 nucleotides. It is a transcript of the gene named serine/arginine-rich splicing factor 3-like, with no coding region annotated. The transcript has 7 exons. The record is from RefSeq and is a predicted model, not a curated record. NCBI's taxonomy places the organism in Eukaryota, Metazoa, Arthropoda, Malacostraca, Decapoda, Portunidae.